CCUACGGGUGGCAGCAGUGGGGAAUAUUGGACAAUGGGCGAAAGCCUGAUCCAGCCAUGCCGCGUAUGUGAAGAAGGCCUUCGGGUUGUAAAGCACUUUCAGUGGGGAAGAAAGCCUUGGGGCUAAUACCCUCGAGGAAGGACAUCACCCACAGAAGAAGCACCGGCUAACUCCGUGCCAGCAGCCGCGGUAAUACGGAGGGUGCGAGCGUUAAUCGGAAUUACUGGGCGUAAAGCGCGCGUAGGCGGUCUGAUAAGCCGGUUGUGAAAGCCCCGGGCUCAACCUGGGAACGGCAUCCGGAACUGUCAGGCUAGAGUGCAGGAGAGGAAGGUAGAAUUCCCGGUGUAGCGGUGAAAUGCGUAGAGAUCGGGAGGAAUACCAGUGGCGAAGGCGGCCUUCUGGACUGACACUGACGCUGAGGUGCGAAAGCGUGGGUAGCAAACAGGAUUAGAUACCCGGGUAGUC
RNAcentral lists this ribosomal RNA (465 nucleotides) under Vreelandella stevensii. Its description in RNAcentral is "partial 16S ribosomal RNA". It matches the Rfam family "Bacterial small subunit ribosomal RNA", at positions 338 to 795 of the family's 1533-position model. Lineage: Bacteria; Pseudomonadati; Pseudomonadota; Gammaproteobacteria; Oceanospirillales; Halomonadaceae. The record is from RNAcentral.